Molecule: ribosomal RNA, 497 nt
Filed under: uncultured bacterium
Lineage: Bacteria
Description: partial 16S ribosomal RNA
Rfam family: Bacterial small subunit ribosomal RNA
Source: RNAcentral
GAUGAACGCUGGCGGCGUGCCUAAUACAUGCCAGUCGAGCGAACAGAUGAGGAGCUUGCUCCUCUGACGUUAGCGGCGGACGGGCGAGUAACACGUGGAUAACCUACCUAUAAGACUGGGAUAACUUCGGGAAACCGGAGCUAAUACCGGAUAAUAUAUUGAACCGCAUGGUUCAAUAGUGAAAGACGGUUUUGCUGUCACUUAUAGAUGGAUCCGCGCCGCAUUAGCUAGUUGGUAAGGUAACGGCUUACCAAGGCAACGAUGCGUAGCCGACCUGAGAGGGUGAUCGGCCACACUGGAACUGAGACACGGUCCAGACUCCUACGGGAGGCAGCAGUAGGGAAUCUUCCGCAAUGGGCGAAAGCCUGACGGAGCAACGCCGCGUGAGUGAUGAAGGUCUUCGGAUCGUAAAACUCUGUUAUUAGGGAAGAACAAAUGUGUAAGUAACUAUGCACGUCUUGACGGUACCUAAUCAGAAAGCCACGGCUAACUACGUG